Molecule: unclassified non-coding RNA, 199 nt
Filed under: uncultured Agaricales
Lineage: Eukaryota; Fungi; Basidiomycota; Agaricomycetes; Agaricales
Description: sequence contains ITS2
Source: RNAcentral
AAUUCUCAAACCCCUUAUCUUUAUUGAUUUGAGGGGAUUUGGAUGUGGAAGCUUUGCGGGUCUCUGAUGAGAUCGGCUCUUCUGAAAUGCAUUAGCAAGGACCUAAUCUUUUGUUGCCCUUGGUGUGAUAAUUAUCUACGCUAUUGGCUUGAGAUGUGUGGUCUGGCUCCCUAAUUGUCUUUGGACAACUUUAUGACAU